Molecule: long non-coding RNA, 93 nt
Organism: Limulus polyphemus (Atlantic horseshoe crab)
Lineage: Eukaryota; Metazoa; Arthropoda; Merostomata; Xiphosura; Limulidae
Exons: 3
Source: RefSeq, a predicted model, not a curated record
GACCGCCAUAGUUCCAAUGGGAAAGAACCUAGACACCUGAAAUUUUGCACCCAUGCUGAGGGUGCGCACCUGGGUAUUGUUCUUUGAAAUUUG